Small nucleolar RNA from Cavia porcellus (domestic guinea pig), 133 nucleotides. It matches the Rfam family "Small nucleolar RNA SNORA84". Lineage: Eukaryota; Metazoa; Chordata; Mammalia; Rodentia; Caviidae. The record is from Rfam.
GCCCUGUGGUUGCUAGGGGCUAUUGUUCAGGUACAGAACUCCAGUGGGUACAAUGGGCCACAGCAAUCCUGUGAUUUUUGCAUGGCAUCUGUGUUUCCUCAGCAGCUGUCAUAGGCCGGUCACUGCUACAUGG